This 212-nucleotide long non-coding RNA is filed under the name Gossypium raimondii (Peruvian cotton). RNAcentral describes it as "long non-coding RNA (GRAI_LNC005111)". Lineage: Eukaryota; Viridiplantae; Streptophyta; Magnoliopsida; Malvales; Malvaceae. The record is from RNAcentral.
AUUAAAUCACAUGAUCUCCAAUCCCUCUUCUAACAUGGUAUUGAUGAAAGUAAUUAGUGCAAAAUAAAGGCGAUAGGGAUAUGGGAAGUAAAAAUAAUACUAAAUAAUACAACCCGAAGCUGCGUCUCAUGCCAAGAUUUCGCAGAGUGCAUUAUUUAAGAGCAAGACAGGCAGGCACAGCUAAGAGAAGGAGAGGUUUGAUUUGAUACAGA